Bacillus subtilis subsp. subtilis str. 168 is the source of this 145-nucleotide small RNA. It matches the Rfam family "Bacillus sRNA ncr952". The record is from Rfam. Lineage: Bacteria; Bacillati; Bacillota; Bacilli; Caryophanales; Bacillaceae.
GGGGGUGGAAACAUAUGGCAUGUGGUCCGAAGAUCAUUAUCUUUUUGGAUGAACUUGAUGAUCCAAAUGUGAGAAUCAUUUUAGAAUGCAGAAUUUAAAUUACAACAUUGUGUUUUGCUCCCUGUUCGUGUGAACAGGGAGAUUU